This 355-nucleotide ribosomal RNA is filed under the name uncultured bacterium. RNAcentral describes it as "bacterial SSU rRNA". It matches the Rfam family "Bacterial small subunit ribosomal RNA", at positions 8 to 353 of the family's 1533-position model. The record is from RNAcentral.
AGAGUUUGAUCCUGGCUCAGGAUGAACGCUAGCUACAGGCUUAACACAUGCAAGUCGAGGGGCAGCAUUUUAGUUUGCUUGCAAACUAAAGAUGGCGACCGGCGCACGGGUGAGUAACACGUAUCCAACCUGCCGAUAACUCGGGGAUAGCCUUUCGAAAGAAAGAUUAAUAUCCGAUAGUAUAUUAAAACCGCAUGGUUUUACUAUUAAAGAAUUUCGGUUAUCGAUGGGGAUGCGUCUGAUUAGCUUGUUGGCGGGGUAACGGCCCACCAAGGCAACGAUCAGUAGGGGUUCUGAGAGGAAGGUCCCCCACAUUGGAACUGAGACACGGUCCAAACUCCUACGGGAGGCAGCA